AGUGUUUUCUCUGGUUGUGCCUCUUCUGCCUCUUCAAACCUCAGAGAACACUCAGGAAAAGCAGAUCUCACAAACUGAACUAUUCUGCUUCUCAGGAUGCUUGUUUUCUGUAAGAAGAUACUCUUACAGGUUUUUAACAGGUUUUUCAUCUAUGCUUUCUGAAAUCUACUGAGAUGUUAGCUUGAGCUGGAACAAAAAUAGUAACACUUUACUUUCUCACAUUCAUUGUUAGAAGCAAGGAGUGGAAAUGAGUAUUCUUUUGUUUGUGUUGAUGGCCUAAAUUCCUCAGUGUCAGAGGCUGAUCUAAGAUCACAUUUCCAGAAGUAUCAUAUUUGUGACAUUCUUGUAUUUGCGGAAUCUAAUAACUGCAGAUGUGCACUUAUUUCCUUUGAAGACAUUAGUAAAGCCAAGUUAGCUGUAGAGGAAAUGAACCAGAAAAAGAUAAAAGGAAAAGAAAUAACUAUUAAAAUUGUAAAUACUGUACCAGAGAGUAAAUAUGUGGUUUCCCAAGUGCUUAAAAAUACGCUUUUGCGUGACAUCCAACCUGCUGAGGAGAGUCAGAGAAAUGAUCAAAGUAACACACUCACUUCAGCCUCCAGUGCUGUGGAAGCCCCCGUCACUGCUUCUGCUUCUGAGAAGAUAACUUCUUCAAAAACCUCUUGCUCUACACAUGUACCUGCAGAAACAAAGUGCCCUGAUGGCAAACCAUCUACUGAAGAUCCUUAUUGGCUCGAAGUUAAAC
Molecule: long non-coding RNA, 742 nt
Organism: Neopsephotus bourkii (Bourke's parrot)
Lineage: Eukaryota; Metazoa; Chordata; Aves; Psittaciformes; Psittacidae
Exons: 3
Source: RefSeq, a predicted model, not a curated record